AGUCAUCUCAUUAUCGCCUCGGCUACACCUGCAAGUUAACAAGACAUACCACAGUACACGUACAUGUCACAAACU
Etheostoma cragini (Arkansas darter) is the source of this 75-nucleotide long non-coding RNA. RefSeq lists it as uncharacterized. Lineage: Eukaryota; Metazoa; Chordata; Actinopteri; Perciformes; Percidae. The record is from RefSeq and is a predicted model, not a curated record. The transcript is spliced from 3 exons.